ACUUAAAUUGAAGAGUUUGAUCAUGGCUCAGAUUGAACGCUGGCGGCAGGCCUAACACAUGCAAGUCGAGCGGUAGCACAGAGAGCUUGCUCUCGGGUGACGAGCGGCGGACGGGUGAGUAAUGUCUGGGAAACUGCCUGAUGGAGGGGGAUAACUACUGGAAACGGUAGCUAAUACCGCAUAACGUCGCAAGACCAAAGUGGGGGACCUUCGGGCCUCAUGCCAUCAGAUGUGCCCAGAUGGGAUUAGCUAGUAGGUGGGGUAACGGCUCACCUAGGCGACGAUCCCUAGCUGGUCUGAGAGGAUGACCAGCCACACUGGAACUGAGACACGGUCCAGACUCCUACGGGAGGCAGCAGUGGGGAAUAUUGCACAAUGGGCGCAAGCCUGAUGCAGCCAUGCCGCGUGUGUGAAGAAGGCCUUCGGGUUGUAAAGCACUUUCAGCGGGGAGGAAGGCGUUAAGGUUAAUAACCUUGUCGAUUGACGUUACCCGCAGAAGAAGCACCGGCUAACUCCGUGCCAGCAGCCGCGGUAAUACGGAGGGUGCAAGCGUUAAUCGGAAUUACUGGGCGUAAAGCGCACGCAGGCGGUCUGUCAAGUCGGAUGUGAAAUCCCCGGGCUCAACCUGGGAACUGCAUUCGAAACUGGCAGGCUAGAGUCUUGUAGAGGGGGGUAGAAUUCCAGGUGUAGCGGUGAAAUGCGUAGAGAUCUGGAGGAAUACCGGUGGCGAAGGCGGCCCCCUGGACAAAGACUGACGCUCAGGUGCGAAAGCGUGGGGAGCAAACAGGAUUAGAUACCCUGGUAGUCCACGCCGUAAACGAUGUCGAUUUGGAGGUUGUGCCCUUGAGGCGUGGCUUCCGGAGCUAACGCGUUAAAUCGACCGCCUGGGGAGUACGGCCGCAAGGUUAAAACUCAAAUGAAUUGACGGGGGCCCGCACAAGCGGUGGAGCAUGUGGUUUAAUUCGAUGCAACGCGAAGAACCUUACCUGGUCUUGACAUCCACAGAACUUUCCAGAGAUGGAUUGGUGCCUUCGGGAACUGUGAGACAGGUGCUGCAUGGCUGUCGUCAGCUCGUGUUGUGAAAUGUUGGGUUAAGUCCCGCAACGAGCGCAACCCUUAUCCUUUGUUGCCAGCGGUCCGGCCGGGAACUCAAAGGAGACUGCCAGUGAUAAACUGGAGGAAGGUGGGGAUGACGUCAAGUCAUCAUGGCCCUUACGACCAGGGCUACACACGUGCUACAAUGGCAUAUACAAAGAGAAGCGACCUCGCGAGAGCAAGCGGACCUCAUAAAGUAUGUCGUAGUCCGGAUUGGAGUCUGCAACUCGACUCCAUGAAGUCGGAAUCGCUAGUAAUCGUAGAUCAGAAUGCUACGGUGAAUACGUUCCCGGGCCUUGUACACACCGCCCGUCACACCAUGGGAGUGGGUUGCAAAAGAAGUAGGUAGCUUAACCUUCGGGAGGGCGCUUACCACUUUGUGAUUCAUGACUGGGGUGAAGUCGUAACAAGGUAACCGUAGGGGAACCUGCGGUUGGAUCACCUCCUUACCUUAAAGAA
RNAcentral lists this ribosomal RNA (1554 nucleotides) under Klebsiella pneumoniae. RNAcentral describes it as "bacterial SSU rRNA". It matches the Rfam family "Bacterial small subunit ribosomal RNA". RNAcentral also lists the same sequence under 2 other names. Lineage: Bacteria; Pseudomonadati; Pseudomonadota; Gammaproteobacteria; Enterobacterales; Enterobacteriaceae. The record is from RNAcentral.